AGAUUGAACGCUGGCGGCAUGCUUUACACAUGCAAGUCGAACGGCAGCGCGGGGCAACCUGGCGGCGAGUGGCGAACGGGUGAGUAAUAUAUCGGAACGUACCCAAGAGUGGGGGAUAACGUAGCGAAAGUUACGCUAAUACCGCAUACGAUCCAAGGAUAGAAAGUCAAGGGGAUGCGCUUGCGCACCGUUGUGCUCCGUGGAGCGGCCGUAUAUCGUAGAUUAGCGUAGUGGUAGGGUAAAGGCCGUACCGAAGGCAU
Molecule: ribosomal RNA, 260 nt
Filed under: uncultured soil bacterium
Lineage: Bacteria
Description: partial 16S ribosomal RNA
Rfam family: Bacterial small subunit ribosomal RNA
Source: RNAcentral